RNAcentral lists this ribosomal RNA (510 nucleotides) under Themiste alutacea. Its description in RNAcentral is "eukaryotic LSU rRNA". It matches the Rfam family "Eukaryotic large subunit ribosomal RNA", at positions 666 to 1133 of the family's 3401-position model. The record is from RNAcentral. Lineage: Eukaryota; Metazoa; Annelida; Sipuncula; Golfingiida; Themistidae.
CCAAGGAGUCUUGCAAAUGCGCGAGUCACUGGGCGGCUACGAACCCCACGGGCGCAAUGAAAGUGAAGGUGCGGCUCGCUCCGCGCUGAGGUGGGACCCCGUGCCUUGGGCGCGGGKGCACCACCGGCCCGUCUCGCCGGCGCCCUCGCGGGUGCCCGGGAGGCGGAGCUGGAGCGUAUUUGCAAGGACCCGAAAGAUGGUGAACUAUACCCGAGCAGGGUGAAGCCAGAGGAAACUCUGGUGGAAGCCCGCAGCGGUUCUGACGUGCAAAUCGAUCGUCAAACUUGGGUAUAGGGGCGAAAGACUAAUCGAACCAUCUAAUAGCUGGUUCCCGCCGAAGUUUCCCUCAGGAUAGCUGGCGCCCAUCUCACGCAGUUUUAUCCGGUAAAGCGAAUGAUUAGAGGCAUCGGGGACAAAACGCCCUCGACCUAUUCUCAAACUUUCAACGGGUAAGAAGCCCGGCCCGCUCUCCUUGGGGCCGGGUGACGAAUGCGGGCGCCCAGUGGGCCA